CGGACGUGAGCAAUCUGCCUUUAAGUAGGGGGUAACAGUCGGAAACGGCUGCUAAUACCGCAUAAAGCAUCAAAUUCGCAUGUUUUUGUAUGCCAAAGGAGCAAUCCGCUUUUUAGAUGAGCUCGCGUCUGAUUAGCUGGUUGGCGGGGUAACGGCCCACCAAGGCGACGAUCAGUAGCCGGACUGAGAGGUUGAACGGCCACAUUGGGACUGAGACACGGCCCAG
Molecule: ribosomal RNA, 226 nt
Filed under: uncultured bacterium
Lineage: Bacteria
Description: partial 16S ribosomal RNA
Rfam family: Bacterial small subunit ribosomal RNA
Source: RNAcentral